Molecule: transfer RNA, 86 nt
Filed under: Actinobacteria bacterium 13_1_20CM_2_66_18
Lineage: Bacteria; Bacillati; Actinomycetota
Also listed under: 21 other names
Description: tRNA-Leu
Rfam family: tRNA
About the family: Transfer RNA (tRNA) molecules are approximately 80 nucleotides in length. Their secondary structure includes four short double-helical elements and three loops (D, anti-codon, and T loops).
Source: RNAcentral
GCGGCGGUGGCGGAAUGGCAGACGCGCUAGUUUCAGGAGCUAGUGUCCGCAAGGACGUGGAGGUUCAACUCCUCUCCGCCGCACCA